AAUUGACCGGAGGAGGCAUCAGGUCAUGCACUGCACUGGCCUGCACCACGAUUAGUAUAAGGCACAUUUCACGAAGCAGAACGCAGUCUUCAGAGAUAUCCACGUGAACGCUGUGAUACGUCUGACCUUAAGUCCGAAAAAGAAAACCCGGACCAGUCUUAAAAGAAAGCACAAACCAAAUCCCCUGUACACAUAUACGGACUCAGAGGAUGAGCAGCCUACAAAAAAACGG
Long non-coding RNA from Oreochromis niloticus (Nile tilapia), 232 nucleotides. RefSeq lists it as uncharacterized. Lineage: Eukaryota; Metazoa; Chordata; Actinopteri; Cichliformes; Cichlidae. The transcript has 3 exons. The record is from RefSeq and is a predicted model, not a curated record.